UGGUACCGAGUCUCAUUUGCUAUGCCU
This 27-nucleotide non-coding RNA is filed under the name Rattus norvegicus (Norway rat). Lineage: Eukaryota; Metazoa; Chordata; Mammalia; Rodentia; Muridae. The record is from RNAcentral.